RNAcentral lists this ribosomal RNA (489 nucleotides) under uncultured bacterium. RNAcentral describes it as "partial 16S ribosomal RNA". It matches the Rfam family "Bacterial small subunit ribosomal RNA", at positions 29 to 507 of the family's 1533-position model. The record is from RNAcentral.
AUGAACGCUAGCGGCAGGCCUAAUACAUGCAAGUCGAACGGGAUCCAGAUCAAAGCUUGCUUUGGUUUGGUGAGAGUGGCGCACGGGUGCGUAACGCGUGAGCAACCUACCCUUGUCAGGGGGAUAGCCCGGCGAAAGUCGGAUUAAUACCGCAUGACAUCAUUGAGAGGCAUCUUUCGAUGAUCAAAGAUUUAUCGGACAAGGAUGGGCUCGCGUGACAUUAGCUAGUUGGUAAGGUAACGGCUUACCAAGGCUACGAUGUCUAGGGGCUCUGAGAGGAGGAUCCCCCACACUGGUACUGAGACACGGACCAGACUCCUACGGGAGGCAGCAGUAAGGAAUAUUGGUCGAUGGACGGAAGUCUGAACCAGCCAUGCCGCGUGCAGGAAGACGGCCCUAUGGGUUGUAAACUGCUUUUAUACGGGAACAAACGUCGGUACGUGUACCGGUCUGAGUGUACCGUAAGAAUAAGGAUCGGCUAACUCCGUG